UUGGCUUUCAUCGUCUUGUGAUCGGAUAUAGCUAUUACAUUACCAAUGUUAUUUCUGAUAAAAGAUUUCAUGGAGUGAAUCAAGGAAAAGUUAUCCAAGGAUUUCCUGUAACUUUGAGUACAUUUGUAUUUGUGUUAGUGUUACAGAUGGUACAGUACUGGGACGCGACGUGUUUCACUUGCGGAUUUGUGCUUGUCCGACACGAGAUUUAAAGACAGACGAACAAGCUAACUCUAAGAAGAGAAGAUUAAAACGCAAAAGAUAUUCAACUGAGACUCAGAUCGCAAAAAUACCAAAACUAGUUGACCCAGAGCCUCAUGUGUCCAACUUAAAUGAAGUUUACAACAUUAAGGUAGUUGGACGUCAGUUGUACUUGUUCAUGAUGAAGAUCAUGCAGUUUUACUCCAGCACCCACCUGAACAUUCCUGACGCUCCAUGUCAACAAAACGAAAACACGAUGGUACACCAAGAGCAGGAUGUGCUCAUGAGAAACAUGUAUUCUAAUAAUCUGAAGAAGCUCAAAGAAAAGCUGAAGAACUUGAGAGAAGAAAGCAAACAGGGGAGUGAGCA
This is a long non-coding RNA of Eriocheir sinensis (Chinese mitten crab), 570 nucleotides long. RefSeq lists it as uncharacterized. The transcript is spliced from 3 exons. The record is from RefSeq and is a predicted model, not a curated record. NCBI's taxonomy places the organism in Eukaryota, Metazoa, Arthropoda, Malacostraca, Decapoda, Varunidae.